RNAcentral lists this ribosomal RNA (464 nucleotides) under uncultured bacterium. RNAcentral describes it as "SSU rRNA". It matches the Rfam family "Bacterial small subunit ribosomal RNA", at positions 26 to 518 of the family's 1533-position model. The record is from RNAcentral.
AGGACGAACGCUGGCGGCGUGCUUAACACAUGCAAGUCGAACGAGGUGCUUCGGCAUUUAGUGGCGAACGGGUGAGUAACACGUGAGCAACCUGCCCUUGGCUCUGGGAUAGCCUCCAGAAACGGGGAUUAAUACCGGACAUGACCUGCUCCUGCAUGGGGGCGGGUGGAAAGUUUUUCGGCCAGGGAGGGGCUCGCGGCCUAUCAGCUUGUUGGGGGGGUAACGGCCCACCAAGGCGACGACGGGUAGCCGGCCUGAGAGGGCGACCGGCCACACUGGGACUGAGACACGGCCCAGACUCCUACGGGAGGCAGCAGUGGGGAAUAUUGCACAAUGGGGGAAACCCUGAUGCAGCGACGCCGCGUGCGGGAUGAAGGCCUUCGGGUUGUAAACCGCUUUCAGCAGGGACGAACCUAGACGGUACCUGCAGAAGAAGCGCCGGCUAACUACGCGCCAGCAGCCGC